RNAcentral lists this ribosomal RNA (2981 nucleotides) under Triticum aestivum (bread wheat). RNAcentral's name for it is "partial small subunit ribosomal RNA". The record is from RNAcentral. Lineage: Eukaryota; Viridiplantae; Streptophyta; Magnoliopsida; Poales; Poaceae.
UAUAACCCGGUGAGGGGUAGGGGAGGGAGCGAAGAAGGGUAGUGUGCGAGGUAAAGGCUUCUUUUGUCUCGUGUCUUUUUCUUUCCUAAAACUAAACGAGAGCACGCGGACGCCGCAGCAGGUGUUGCGGUUAGACCCGUCGUGAGGUAGGAGAGAUGUAUUCGCCGAGGGGAGGUGGUAGGGGAAGGAAAGGAGAAGGCGGAGGGAGAGGACCGGCGGCGGAGACGGGGGGGAGGGCGACGGCGCCGCGGCGUCGGGUCGCAGCGGCGGCUGCGUAGGCUAAGGAGGGCGGCGGAGGCGGCGAGGGCAAGAACCGGCGGCGGCGGGGGAGCAGUCGUUAGAGCCUGUAAGGAAAAGCUCAGCACUAAGUCGACCAGUCUAUUUUGGGACCACACUAAGGAGACUUCAAAUCGUAACAGCGACGAAACUCUUCUUUGUUGAAAUAGAGAAACAUCUCGUGACCUUUUACCUAGCGUCUCUAUGAAGUCCCAAACAGUCACCACCAACGUUUCUAUUGAACAUGACGAUUUACGGAAUCCAAAAGAUUGAACCAUCAAAGCAACUGGUAAUAAAUUGGGCCUUCACUCCGUUCGAACCCGUGACUCUUGCUACCUGGGGUCCGGGCCUGUCAGUCGUAAAUGAUAUUCAAAGAGUUUAGGCUUCCGGUAACACUCGUUCAAGGGACAGCAGGGGCAUCGGUCAGUGGGGCGUCUGUCAUUAUCAGUUGAACUACACGUUCGAGUGCUAAUAAACAUGUUGGUUGGUUCUCCUUGGUUCUCUUUCAAGCUACCGAACAGCGAACCGGACCCGUUGAGUAGUUUGAGUCUAAGGUCGUUCGUUUCAUACGCACGACCGACGUGGUAUAGAAGAGGAUUCCCAUCACUACUUCCAAGAAGACAACUAAACCCGAAUUUAAUAGAAUGCGACCCGUUACUUCCAUGAAGGUCCGACCUAUUCGUCCGAUCACUAAAAUCCUCUUGAAGCCGCUUCCGACCCAACCUAGAACUCAAUAGAAACAGACAACCUGGUACAGUUAGACGAUAAUGACCGGUUCUGGAUUGAAGUCGUUGGUUUGUCUUGUUGGGUAAAGACGUCGGUAUGUAAUACCUGAACCAGGGUUCUCAACUGCUUCCAAGAUGUAGAGAAGUAGCUGGCAGACCACCAGUCAAGGAAUUAAAGGAAUUAUUCUGACGUUCCUACUGACCCAAAAGAGGUUCCGUUCAAAAUAGUCCGUCGAGAUUGGUCUCAGUCCCAGGUCGAAGUGACGGUUGUAACGAGGUUGAUGUUCUUUCAGGUCGUUGGACAUGAAGGCCCAGACAAUCAGGUGUUGUAGCGUAGUCGUCGUGUUUUCAAACAAGUAUGGGUCCUACAUCUUUUCCCCGGUCUCCAAGCAGUCCCGCGACGUAACGUGUACCACCCCCCUCUUCCACGGCAUCUCUCCCUACGUUGUUUCCGCGGCUCCCGUUCUGGUAGAUGACAUUUCGAGUACCUCCCCCUGCCGCGACACCCGUGGAACCCACGUGGUUCUCGCGACUUCCGGCAUGACUAAAGACGUAUCCGGUACCGCCACCAGCCGCAACAUAGGUGCUGCCGACGUCUUCUCGUCGUUCUCCCUUUAGACCGGCGACGUAGUUUGUACCACCACCUUUUUCCACGGUCGUCCUCUUGACGUGUUUCUCACGCCUUCCUGCAAGUCCGAAUACGUAACGGGUACCUCCGCCUGGAGCGACAGUCGUACGACCAACGUGCUUCCCACGUGUCCCUUCAUGACUAAAGACGUUUAGCGUACCACCACCGUCUUCUACGUGCGUGGGACUGACAUGUUUCCCACGACUCCCUUCGUGCGGUAAGACGUUUCCCGUACCUCCUCCGUUUGCAACAAGCCGAGUUCCGACGUGUUUUACACACGUGCCUCCAUGUGUCAAGACGCAACGCGUACCUCCACCGUUCUCCACGCACCACCUUCCUACGUGGUUCUCGCGGUCCCCAGCAUGGCUAGCGACGCAACCAGUACCACCCCCGUUCUCUACGCAUAGACAACCCACACUAUUCUCGCGUGUCCCUUCGUGGCUGAAGACGUUCCGUGUACCUCCUCCGUUCGCAACGUGGACCCCAGUAGGACCGAGGCUAGAACCUCAACCGUCGGGAGGGACACUAGCGGAACGAUCUCCGUUCUUUCCGUACACACAGGUAGUGUUGGGCGAGGACCUGCUACUGGCAUAGGUGCCGCCGGCUUGCGACCGCCGAAAGUCGUAAUGUUCGUCGCGACGAAGGGAACUAGCAGCCUCGGUGGGACGUUUGAGCCUUUGGUCGUCCGCGUCGUAGAGGUGGUACGAAGGUCACCUCCGAGGGCCAGCACGCGGAGAAGGACUCCCGGCCCACGUGCCGCCAUUGUAGCACAGUAACAAACGAUUACCAGACUCGAAGCCCCUCUUGAGGUCGUUGUUGCGGCUCCAGUCAUGGAGUCGCGGAGCGUCGAAGUUUGGACGGUUCCUUAAGUCGCGGAGACCAGCGUCGUCGACCGAGAUCGCGGGUUCCGAAAGGAGGGCGGGCUGGAGGCAAAGCUGUGCCAAGCAAAGCAGACCGUUCACAGAGGACGAGGACGGGAGACCACACUUCUUUCCGGCGCCAUACUAACACACUUCACAAACAACAGAAUGAAUACCUAAACAUACAUAAUUGACGGGGAGACAUUCUAUCUAUAUUUAUUUUCCCCAACCCACAGCUUCACAAUUAAUUAAAAUCCAGAACACAACUUCCACACAAGCAUCAUGUCACCAGAUGUCAAUACGUACUUCUUAAUCGGGACAUACUCUAAGGAGGGUAGUCACCAGAUGUCAAUAUGUUGUAAACCCACAUCAUUUAUAACCACAACGACGACAACAUAUGUUUGUAUAUAACCCCCGCGAACACACACACUUCAAGCAAGACAGGUAGACUUAUUAUUCUUUCAAUACCAACACUACCAACAACAUAGAGAG